RNAcentral lists this ribosomal RNA (497 nucleotides) under uncultured bacterium. RNAcentral's name for it is "partial 16S ribosomal RNA". It matches the Rfam family "Bacterial small subunit ribosomal RNA", at positions 28 to 507 of the family's 1533-position model. The record is from RNAcentral.
GAUGAACGCUGGCGGCGUGCCUAAUACAUGCAAGUCGAGCGAACGGACGAGAAGCUUGCUUCUCUGAUGUUAGCGGCGGACGGGUGAGUAACACGUGGAUAACCUACCUAUAAGACUGGGAUAACUUCGGGAAACCGGAGCUAAUACCGGAUAAUAUUUUGAACCGCAUGGUUCAAAAGUGAAAGACGGUCUUGCUGUCACUUAUAGAUGGAUCCGCGCUGCAUUAGCUAGUUGGUAAGGUAACGGCUUACCAAGGCAACGAUGCAUAGCUGACCUGAGAGGGUGAUCGGCCACCCUGGAACUGAGACAAGGUCCAGACUCCUACGGGAGGCAGCAGUAGGGAAUCUUCCGCAAUGGGCGAAAGCCUGACGGAGCAACGCCGCGUGAGUGAUGAAGGUCUUCGGAUCGUAAAACUCUGUUAUUAGGGAAGAACAUAUGUGUAAGUAACUGUGCACAUCUUGACGGUACCUAAUCAGAAAGCCACGGCUAACUACGUG